This 336-nucleotide ribosomal RNA is filed under the name uncultured bacterium. Its description in RNAcentral is "bacterial SSU rRNA". It matches the Rfam family "Bacterial small subunit ribosomal RNA", at positions 95 to 446 of the family's 1533-position model. The record is from RNAcentral.
GUGGCGGACGGGUGAGUAACGCGUAGGUAUCUAUCUCUGGGUGGGGGAUAACCGUGGGAAACUACGGCUAAUACCGCAUGACACCUGAGGGUCAAAGGCGCGAGCCGCCUGGAGAGGAGCCUGCGUUCGAUUAGCUUGUUGGUGGGGUAAAGGCCUACCAAGGCGACGAUCGAUAGCUGGUCUGAGAGGAUGAUCAGCCACAUUGGGACUGAGACACGGCCCAAACUCCUACGGGAGGCAGCAGUGGGGAAUAUUGGACAAUGGGCGCAAGCCUGAUCCAGCAAUGCCGCGUGGGUGAAGAAGGUUUUCGGAUUGUAAAGCCCUUUUGGCGGGGAC